GACGAACGCUGGCGGCGUGCCUAAUACAUGCAAGUCGAGCGAAGUUUUUCUGGUGCUUGCACCGGAAAAACUUAGCGGCGAACGGGUGAGUAACACGUAAAGAACCUGCCUUAUAGACUGGGACAACUAUUGGAAACGAUAGCUAAUACCGGAUAACAGCAUUAACUGCAUGGUUGAUGUUUGAAAGUUGGUUUUGCUAACACUAUGAGAUGGCUUUGCGGUGCAUUAGCUAGUUGGUGGGGUAAAGGCCUACCAAGGUGACGAUGCAUAGCCGACCUGAGAGGGUGAUCGGCCACACUGGGACUGAGACACGGCCCAGACUCCUACGGGAGGCAGCAGUAGGGAAUCUUCCGCAAUGGGCGAAAGCCUGACGGAGCAACGCCGCGUGAGUGAAGAAGGAUUUCGGUUCGUAAAGCUCUGUUGUUAGGGAAGAAUGAUUGUGUAGUAACUAUACACAGUAGAGACGGUACCUAACCAGAAAGCCACGGCUAACUACGUG
This 499-nucleotide ribosomal RNA is filed under the name uncultured bacterium. Its description in RNAcentral is "partial 16S ribosomal RNA". It matches the Rfam family "Bacterial small subunit ribosomal RNA", at positions 28 to 507 of the family's 1533-position model. The record is from RNAcentral.